Molecule: unclassified non-coding RNA, 384 nt
Filed under: fungal sp.
Lineage: Eukaryota; Fungi
Description: partial internal transcribed spacer region
Rfam family: Eukaryotic small subunit ribosomal RNA (bases 1-46)
Source: RNAcentral
AAGUCGUAACAAGGUCUCCGUAGGUGAACCUGCGGAGGGAUCAUUAACACGUAUCCAAAACGUUCAAACCCAAACCGUGCUCUUUUGUUCCCAUAGGGGGAGGUGACUCGCAAGCCACAGAUGGAUUCUUUUUCUUUCGCAAGAGAGAAGGGUCUGCUUGCAGUCUAUUGAUCCUUGAGAUCAGCCGAUUCUCUAUGGCGUAUUAAAGCCAUCUGGUUACUAGUGCCAACCCGGUUCCGACCCGGAGCCUAGUAGCCUUAUUAAACCCCAUUUUUUAACCCCUUUAUUUUAUAAAUAACUGAUUUUAACUUUUUCUAGACCGAAAGGUUUGGAUAAGUGUAUACGAAACGCGAACAACUCUUAGCAAUGGAUAUCUUGGUUCUC